Molecule: long non-coding RNA, 332 nt
Filed under: Naja naja (Indian cobra)
Lineage: Eukaryota; Metazoa; Chordata; Lepidosauria; Squamata; Elapidae
Description: lncRNA (ENSNNAG00000013845.1)
Source: RNAcentral
UCUCCGUUUCGGGGUGGCCAUCACACACACCUCCAACAUGCCUCUUACGUUCUCUUCCUCAGUUGCCUCCACCCCCGGUGCCACAAAGGAUUCGCUCCAGCCAGCGGCAGGGCGUGACUUCUCCAGGAUACGUUGGAGCCCAAGAGCAUAAUUUCAGCCCUAUCUUGCAAAGAAGACAAAGUCUGGGGUCUUCAAGCUCUAUGGAGAGCACGCUAGAUCCAGGCUACAAUACGAUGGACAAACUUGGUGGUGGAUUCAGCAGCAGGUAAGGGAGUCCGAGGGGGCCUCGGGACCAGCUCCCUUAGCUGCUGCCUAGAGGUGAAAUAAAGUUU